GCCGAGGUAGCUCAGUGGUAGAGCAGUAGUUUUGUAAACUAUUGGCCGCAGGUUCAAAUCCUGUCCUCGGCUCCA
RNAcentral lists this transfer RNA (75 nucleotides) under Patescibacteria group bacterium. Its description in RNAcentral is "tRNA-Thr". It matches the Rfam family "tRNA". Rfam says of the family: Transfer RNA (tRNA) molecules are approximately 80 nucleotides in length. Their secondary structure includes four short double-helical elements and three loops (D, anti-codon, and T loops). The record is from RNAcentral.